GAUGAAGAACGUAGCGAAAUGCGAUAAGUAAUGUGAAUUGCAGAAUUCAGUGAAUCAUCGAAUCUUUGAACGCACCUUGCGCCUUUUGGUAUUCCGAAAGGCACACCUGUUUGAGCGUCAUGAAUACCUCAAUCUCCAUCUUUUCUUCGGAUUGAUGGGUGACUUGGAUGUUGAGCCCUGCUGGUAUGCUAUAUCAGCUGGCUUUAAACUUAUUAGCCGGCUCUGUACUGGAUCGGUUUGACUCGACGUGAUAAUAUUAUCGUUGAGGAUGCAUGUCUCAUGCAGCCGGAAAGUAUCAAAUCAGCUUCUAGCUUGCCUUUAGUGCACUUUUACAUUUUAGACCUCAGAUCAGGUGGGACUACCCGCUGAACUUAAGCAUAUCAAUAAGCGGAGGA
This 395-nucleotide unclassified non-coding RNA is filed under the name soil metagenome. RNAcentral's name for it is "partial contains 5.8S ribosomal RNA, internal transcribed spacer 2, and large subunit ribosomal RNA". The stretch from base 1 to 120 matches the Rfam family "5.8S ribosomal RNA", at positions 35 to 154 of the family's 154-position model. The record is from RNAcentral.